AGCGAACGCUGGCGGCAGGCCUAACACAUGCAAGUCGAACGAACUCUUCGGAGUUAGUGGCGGACGGGUGAGUAACACGUGGGAACGUGCCUUUUGGUUCGGACUAACUCAGGGAAACUUGUGCUAAUACCGAAUGUGCCCUUCGGGGGAAAGAUUUAUCGCCAUUAGAGCGGCCCGCGUCUGAUUAGCUAGUUGGUGAGGUAACGGCUCACCAAGGCGACGAUCAGUAGCUGGUCUGAGAGGAUGACCAGCCACACUGGGACUGAGACACGGCCCAGACUCCUACGGGAGGCAGCAGUAGGGAAUCUUGCGCAAUGGGCGAAAGCCUGACGCAGCCAUGCCGCGUGAAUGAUGAAGGUCUUAGGAUUGUAAAAUUCUUUCACCGGGGACGAUAAUGACGGUACCCGGAGAAGAAGCCCCGGCUAACUUCGUG
RNAcentral lists this ribosomal RNA (433 nucleotides) under uncultured bacterium. Its description in RNAcentral is "partial 16S ribosomal RNA". It matches the Rfam family "Bacterial small subunit ribosomal RNA", at positions 29 to 507 of the family's 1533-position model. The record is from RNAcentral.